Molecule: long non-coding RNA, 12148 nt
Filed under: Mytilus galloprovincialis (Mediterranean mussel)
Lineage: Eukaryota; Metazoa; Mollusca; Bivalvia; Mytilida; Mytilidae
Source: RNAcentral
AAAAAGGAAAGUGAAAAAAAUAAUGAACUUCGAGGAAAAUGCAAAAACGGAAAGUCCUUAAUCAAAUGGCAAAUUCAAAACCUCAAACACGUCAAACUAAUGGACAUCAACUCAUUACAUGUUACAAAUAUUCUUAUUUUCUAUUUCAUUCUUCACGACAGGUGUCACAUGUGAUGUAGGAUCUGUUUAUACUUCCCAAAGCAGUUUAGACCACCCCCAUAGGAUCUGUUUAUACUUCCCAAAGCACUUUAGACCACCCCCAGUUUUGUUGAUUUUGUGUUGCUCAGCCUGUGAUUUUCUAUGUUGUGUUGUUGUACUAUUGUUUGCCUGUUGUAUUUUUCUUUUUAAACCAUGGUGUUGUAAGUUUAUUUUCGACUUAUUUGUUUGAAUGUCACUAUGGUAUAUUUCGUCCCUCUUUGAUAUAAAUAUGCAAAAUAACUAUUUCUGAAAAACGAUCCUUCAUUAUACACAUAUAUAUUGUUUGUGUGUACAAAUAAAGGUCUUUUUUUUAAAUCACACAAAGGAAAUAUAAACUGUUAGUAGUUAGUUUUAUUGUAUGUUUACUUUUAAAAUUAAUGAUAAAUGUAUAUGAGUUGUAUCGAAUUAACAGAUCUACAGACGAAAAUAAUAAAACAAUUGCUAUCUCAUGUUUAAAAGUAUUGAGGUUAAUUGACUCGAUAAUGCAUUGUAAUGGUUUUAUCGCAAUUUGUUGAAUAAAUGAGUGCGUUUUUUCACCUAGGUGUCGUUGAAUUGAUAUGCAUCGCCUUUUGGUAAACUCUCUAAGCUGUUAAUGAUCACCAAACUGUACUUUAUCCACAAGUAUUCAGUACUUUAUUUGACCUUCAAACUAGGUCCUGAAUGAAUUGAUUUUAUCAACGUAAGAAAAUAUAUUAAAGGACAGAUUAGCAAUUUUUGACAUUUAAAACAGGUUUUGAAAUACAGAAAAUGGUUACAAUAUAUAGACAUGAUUACUUCAAAAGUUUAAAAAUACCUUUACAGCUUAUGAGUUUAAAACUUUUGAAUUUUAUUUAACACAUGUCUUUUACAUGUGAACAGAGCACAGCAUGUUCAGACUUUAUAUGCUGCUACAUAUAUCAAUCUCAUUGAACACAACGAUAACAGUGACUACAUGAAGUAAAAUUCUAACCAAAUUGUUCCAAAUCGAACAAUUGUCUAGACAUAUCGUAAACAAAUCAUAAAAUGUCAUAAAACAUACCUAAAUAAAAUUCAACUUUUUUUUUUCUUCUGAUGCAUUGAGCGGCAAAUGUACAUAAACUACUACAAUUUGUAAUCAUUUAAAGAACAUUUAUUGAUCAUUUAGGAUAAAACGGCUAAUAUACACUACACAUUGAGUUGAAUUUUACACUACGCAUUGAGUUGAAUUUUACACUACACAUUGAGUUGAAUUUUACACUACACAUUGAGUUGAAUUUUACUCUACACAUUGAGUUGAGUUUUACGGAUAUUUGAUCUUCGAUAUUGGUCGUAUUGGUGUCAGAAAUAUAACAAAACUGAACACUACAUUCGUUGAUAGAACAACUUUCCUUCUAUAUGUUCAAGACUGAAUUUUCAUGUUAGCUGAGUUUUUUUAUGAAUCUUGUCGAACAAUAUAACAGUUUAUUCGUACAUUUUGCUGUAAUAAAACUGUUUCGUGUAAGUAGAGGUGUAAGCACUCGGAAAUUUGUUUAAACCCGCAAAAUGUACAUGUCCAAUGUACGUAGCUUGGAAUUUGUCGUUGGUCGUUACUUGCUGCUUCAUGUUUGUUUUCCAAUUAUUGUUAAGAGUUUAAGUGAUAAAAGAGAGGGGUAAUAUACUUAAGGGAUUUCGAAUUCGAAAAACAAAAUGACAAUUCCUUGGCACAAAUUGAAAAUGAUCAAAUGAAAAGUAUACAAUACACAACAUUGAUACAUGAUGUUUCAGGUUCUCGUGGUGGCUAAGGUUAUCAUGCAGCAUAUGAUGCACCCGUAGUGUUGUUUAUGUUAGGAACACCUAAUGAAAGGUCAAAUUCGGUAGCUCACACUCGAUGAAAAGAUAACGAGAUUAUUAAUUGCUAAGACAAAUCGGAACAUAUUCGUAAUCAUCUUUGGCACAAGUAUUACAAAAAGAUCAUCAAACUCCGUCCGUAAAACGCAUUCAAAAGUUGAAGGAACGGCAAAAAGUAUAUCCAUUUCAUACCCAUGUACUACAUUAUCUUCCCUGAAGUCUUCAAAAUAAAGUACUAGUAAGAAUAUUUUCAUCCGUUUUGAUAUCAUGAUUUCAAAGACGGGUACGUACUAUUGUUUAUUUCGUUUACUAUAUUUUUCAGGUAACAGCUUAUAAGAUUUUCUAACAGGAACACAAGGAUGAAAAACAGUAGAGUAAGUGUGUCAAUAAAAUAGAGAAUGGAAAUAAGGAAUGUGUCAAAGACACAACAACCCGACCAUAGAGCAGAAAACAGCCGAAGGUGUCAAUAAUAAUGCAAUCACCUCCCUGUUAUAGGAUAAAAAUCUUCAUGUUUUAAUUCUACAUUUUGGCUGUGAUCUAAUAAUUGUUGAUUGUCGGAAUAAUUGCAGAACGAUUUGUUUAGAAUAUUACCAAUUUCCCACAUGAUAUUACGUAAUGUGUUAUGUCAUUUUCAUUUGGGAUGGUGUGUCAAACCGCUAUAUAUGUACUGAAUUGUUUCCGAUAAAGGGUGAGGCUCAUGUUUUUUGAUAUUUUUGUCUAAGGGUCUACAUUGUUUGUACGUGUCAAAGUCAUAACUUUCCGAAAACUAAACAAACCGAAUCAAUUUUAGUCAAAGUGUUUGGUACCACCGUAAUGCAGGAUUCUUAGUUUAAGCGAUUAGUGAAUUUUAAAAAAUUUUAAAAUUAAUUGGUGACAUUUUUUUAUUAUCCUAACCAUUUGAUUAUUUAUAAACAUAUCUUUUAUUUUCCAGGUUCAGAUAUUACCGACAAAUGUAGUAAUCCAAACAAAAAAUCAAACGCAUUCACAUUAUAAAAUCGCACCAAUAGAUUGGACNNNNNNNNNNNNNNNNNNNNNNNNNUUUCUUCAGAAAGAGUUAUUGGAGAUGUGUUUGCAAUGUUCGCAGGCAUCUGUUUCUAUCCAUGAACAAGUUGUGUGUCAAAUUAAUUAUUAUUACUUAUCACUCGUAUUUUUUGCCCUACCUACCAUUAUUGGCAUUGAUUGCCAGUGCACGAACUAGCACGAACGCCACAUUUAGUUAGUGGUGCGAUAUUCUGACGCGUUUUUUAGUUCUUGGUCACUCAAGUUUAGAAAGAAAGGGGAGAAAAUCCAAAUAGACACCCACCAAUCACAAACGUUGUUGCAAAUUUGACCUUAAGGCGUCAAAGAAUUUCCCAUGAUGCAAUUAUUGCAUAUAAAUAAAAAACAAAAACAAAAAAAACUAUUAUACAUUGUACCAAUUGAAUAAAAAUUGUUGCAUACAAAUGACAUUUUAUACCAAUUGAAUAAAAAAUAUUGUAGUUGAAUGCAAAUUAUUAUACCAUUUGAAUGAAAAAUUAUACCAUUCGAAUAAAAAAUAUUGCAUUUUAAUGAUAAAAUAUACCAUUUAAAUGAGAAAAAUAUACCAUUUAAAUGAAAAAAUAUACCAUUUAAAUGAAAAAUAUACCAUUUGAAUAAAAAAUAUUGCAUCUAAAUGAAAAAAAAUAUACCAUUCAAAUGAAAAAAUAUUGCAUUUAAAUGAAGAAAUAUAUUAAUCAAAUAUUAAAUAUUGCAUUUGAAUGAAAAAUAUCGAAUUUUUGCAACCAAUACCAUGCCAUAAUUGCUGUAAAAACAUUUUAAUAAACUGUUUUCUUUAACACUUGUUUAUAUUGCAAAAAAAAUUACCUUCAUCUGAUUAUAUCAUUUGAAUUGAAUGAAAGUGUUUUUACGUGAUUUAGUUGUGACGGUUAAUAAUAUUCAACUAUACCUUUUGAUUUAAUCCUUAUGAUCUUUUAAACGGUAUACUUGUCUUGAUAAUAUCCUUAUUUAUUUUCUACUUAAAUUAAAGGUUAGAUAUUUUCCAUUUUUACUUAUUUUGAAACCAAACCUAACACUUUAUUGAACCAUAAUUGUUAUAGUGUCAAUCUUAAAGAAAAGAAUACAAUACUUUGUUUGUCUUUACGCAUAUGUUUAUAUAAUGGUAAUAGUAAUAACUUUAGUUCUUUUGUAUGAUUAUAUUCAUUCAAAACAAAAAUGUCCCUUUUUAUGAUGUUUAUAAAGUGGAAAGGCAAUACAGCUGUGCCUAAAAAAUACUAUGUUCAUUGCUGUGUUCGAACAGUAAAUAAAGACUUAUUUAGAAUUGAAUUGAUUUAUUUGUAUUUUUUAAUGCGUUUAUCAAUAUAUAUGGUUGUCAGGACUGCCCAAAGAAAGGACUCACUACGGUUGGUCUUUCAUUUGACUAAUACUGAAAAUCGUCGUUUUGUUAUACGACAAGACAAACGUUAAGGUACUAGUAUGUAUAAAAAGUAAAAUCAUAAAAAUACUGAACUCCGAGGAAAAUUCAAGACGGAAAGUCCCUAAUCAAUUUGCAAAAUCAAAAGAUCAAACACAUCACCUGUCAUAUUUCUGACUUUGUAAAUGCAUUUUCAUGGUGGAAAAAGAUAGAUUGAAAAUUUUAUAGAUAGCUUAACCUCCUACGUAUAUGACAGUUGCAUAACAUUUCAUUAUAUUGAAAACGAUGUGUGAACACAAAAAACAGACAGUAUAGAUAUAAAUGUCAAAAAUACGGGUACAUCAGUCAAUAUUCCAUAACAUAUAACCGAAUGCGAAUUAUUAACGUGCUUUACUAAGAAUGAGCAAGGGGUAUCAAUAUUAAAGCAGGAAUUUACUACCUUUUGGUCACUCGGAGUUUAUCUACGGUUAUUGGUAGGAUAUCCGUUGCUUAAUACUUAGUUGUCUGUGUAAAGUUAUUAUUGUUUGUUAUCUUGACGUGUUUUGUUCGAGUCUUUGAUGUCCGUGUUAUUAGAUAUGAUCCUUUAAUGUGUAGUUUGGUAUAAUCUUUCUCUUUACAUGACGUGUUUGAAGUUGCUUUUAACCGUUUAACAACUUUGCUAUAUAUAUCUUACUAGUAACCUGUUUCCUUGGCUACAUGGUUUGUUAUUUAGGGACGUUGUUGAAAGUUGAAAAAUGUUACUUAGACAGGCAGCUACUUUUAAGGAAAUAUUUUUCUCUAAGACUGAUUCUUAUAGUUCUUCUCAGUUAUAUGCAUUGUUAUGUAUUAUAAAUGCUAGAUAAACGUACUGUUUGCAUGACAAGUGUUUACAGUUCCGUUAUAUUUAUACAAAAUAGAUGGACAAGACAUAAUUGGUUAUUGUGACAAUCAUUGAAUCCAUAUUAUGUUCACUGGAAUCUGUUAGUAAAAUUAUCCUACUGCUGUUUGAACACAUUCGUAUGGGUCAUUAAAUUAUUGGCAAACAACAAACAUGGCCUUUUGCUCAUGAUAAAAUAUGACACUACCACAAUGUCAAAUGCUUUUAUUUGCUGUCAGCAAUGUAAAAGAAAUUUUUUGAAUUUUGAUUUAGGACUAUCUUCAUUGUUCGAACUAUGAAGUGGUUAAAGAUGCUUGCUAUACUCGAAAUGUGCCUUUGUAAAGUUUUUUUGUGUCUGCGUAUCAAGAUGUACAAAUUAAAGAAAUAUCAUAUUCCAAAUAACCGUUUUUAUAGAACAGUUUUAGUAAAUUUGCAACAAAUAGCAAUGGUUUAGAGAUUAACACCUAAAUAAUACAAUACUCUAUCCUUUCACAAUAUUAAAGUUAGUAAAUACAAAAGGCAUAUAUAGAAUACUGACGAAUAGGGUGCUCACUAACAUUUCACAGGUAUAGCACUACAUUUUACAUUUUCAAUUUGAUAACAUAGUUUUAUAUACCAGAAACUAUAGACUCGCUUACAGUAUAUAAAGAAUAUCAAUUAAAAGGUUAUUUUCAUAAAAUAAUUGUUUGCAAAAGUAUGAGUUAUUCGAAAUACUAAGGAUUUUCUUAUCCCAGACAUUGAUUUACCGAGCCGUAUUUGGCACAACAAAUUUGGAAUUUUUGGUCCUCAAUGAUCUUCAAACUUAUACUGGUUUGGCUAUCUAAAAAAUUUGUUUUGAGCGUCACUGAUGAGUCUUAGGUAGACAUAACGCGCAUCUGGUGUAUCAAAUUAUAUUAAGCCUGGUACAUUUGAUAACUAUCAUGAACAUGUGAUGAGUUCAACGUUUGUAUCUGGCACUUCAAUUUCCUUGAUUUGAUUUCCAACAUAGAAAUGACAUUAUUUAUUUAGUUGAACGCAUAAUAAUUUUUUUUAGAAACGAACUUAAACUAUCGAGUCUCAAAACGGCGACUGCACCAGUGUUCAUAUGUCUGUUCUGGUUUAUUGAAGUGAUGUUAUAUGGUGAUUGUUGUACCAGAUCAUUUUUUAUACAUCUAUUCUAGUUAAUUAAGGUAACGUUCUAUAGUGAUAAGUGUACCGGACCGUUUGUUCAUACAUUUUUUCUGGUUUUAUUGAAGUGAUGGCAUAACAGACCAUUGUUCAUACAUCUUUUUUGAUUAAUUGAAGUGAUUUUAUAUGGUGAUUGGUGUUCUAGAGCAUUUGUUCAUAUGUCUUUUUUUUUGUUUAUUGAAGUGACGUUCUAUGGUUAUUGUUGUACCAGACCAUUUGUUCAUAUGUCUUUUCUGGUUUAUUGAAGUGAUGUUAUAUGGUGAUUGUUGUACAGACCAUUAAUUCCAUAUGUCUUUUCUAGUUUAAUUGAAGUGUGGUGUUAUAUGUGAUUGUUGUACCAGACCAUUUAUUCAUAUUCUUUUCUAGUUGUAUUGAAGUGAUGUUAUAUGUGUGAUUUGUUGUUACCAGACCUUAUUCAUAUGUCUUUCUAGUUAUUGAAGUGAUGUUAUAUGGGGAUUGUUGCUACCAGACCUAUUGUUCAUAUGCUUUUCUUAGUUUAUUGACAGUAAUGAUAUGGUGAUUGUUGUACCAGACCAUUUAUAUCAUAUGUCUUUUCUAGUUUCUUGAAGUGAGUUAUAUGGUGAUUGUUGUACAGAUGUCUGUUCUGGUUCUUGAAGUGAUGUUAUAGGUGAUUGUUGUAACAUAGACCAUUUGUUCAAUAUGUUUUUCUGGUUUAUUGAAGUGAUGUUAUAUGGUGAUUGUUGCUACCAGGACCAUUUGUUUCAUAUGUCUGUUUUCUGUUUUGAAGUGAUGUUAUAUGGUGAUUGUUUGUACCAGCACCAUUUAUUCAUCAAUGUCUUUUCUGGUUUAUUGAAGUGAUGUUAUAUGGUGGUUGUUGUACCAGACCAUUUAUGUCAUAAUUCUUUUCUGGUAAUUGAAGUUGAUGUUAUAUGCUGAUUGUUGUACCAAGACCAUUUGUUCAUAUGUCUUUUCUGGUUGUAUUGAAGUGAUGUUAUAUGUGAUUGUUGUACCAGACCUUUGUUUCAUAUGUCUUUCUGGUUUAAUUGAAGUGAUGUUAUAUGGUGAUUGUUUACCAGAUGUCUGUUCUGGUUUAUGAAGUGAUGUUAUAUGGUGAUUAUUGUAACAUACACAUUUGUUCAUAUGUCUUUUUCUGGUUUAUUGAAGUGAUGUUAUAUGGUGAUUGUUGUACCAGACCAUUUGUUCAUAUGUCUUUCUGGUUUAUUGAAGUGAUGUUAUAUGGUGAUUGUUGUACGCAGAUGUCUUUCUGGCUUUAUUGAAGUGAUGUUAAUGGUGAUUGUUGUACCGACCAUUGUUCAUAUGUCCUUUUUCUGUAAUUGAAGUGAUUUUAUAUGGUGAUUAUUGUUCUAAGAAAACCAUUUGGUUCAUAAUGUCUUUUCUUGGUUUAUUUAAAGUGAUGUUAUAUGGGAUUGUUGUUCUAGACCAUUUGUUCAUAUGUUUUUUCGAGUUUAUUUGGAAGUGAUGUUAUAUGGUGAUUGUUGUACAAGACCAUUUGUUCAUAUGUCUUUUCUGGUUAUUGAAGGAAUGUUAUAAUGGUUGAUUGUUGUACAGACCAUUGUGUUCAUAAUGUCUUUUCUGGUUUAUAUGAAUGAGUUAUAUGGUGCAUUGUUGUAGGGCCAGACCAUUUAUUCAUAUGUUCUUGUUCUGAGUUUAUUGAAGGGAAUGUUAGUAUGGUGGUUGUUGUACCAGACCAUGUUAUUCAUAUGUCUUUUCUGGUUAUUGAAGUGAUGUUAUAUGCUGAUGUUGUACCAGACCAUUUAUGUUUAAUGUCUUUUCUGGUUUAUUGAAGUGAUGUUAUAUGGUGAUUGUUGUACCAACCAUUUGUUUCAUAAUGUUUUUCUGGUUUAUUGAAGUGAUGUUAUAUGGUGAUUGUUGUACCAGAUUCUUUCUGGUUUAUUGAAAGUUGAUGUUAUAUGGUGAUUAUUGUACCAUACCAUUUGUUCAUAAUUUCUUUUCUGGUUUAUUGAAGUGAUAUGUUAUAUGGUGAUUGUUUACCAGACCAUUGUUCAUAUGUUUUUUCUGGUUUAAUGAAGUGAUGUUAUAUGGUGAUUGUUUACCAGAUGUCUUUUCUUGGUUUAUGAUGUGAUGUUAUAUGUAGAUGUUGUGUACCAGACCAUUUGUUCAUAUGUCUUUUCUGUUAAUUGAAGUGAUUUUAUAUGGUGAUUAUGUUCUAACAUUUUGUUCAUAUGUCUUUUCUGGUUUAUUGAAGUGAUGUAUAUGGUAUUGUUGUUUAUGACCAUUUGUUCAUAUGUCUUUCCUAGUUUAUUGGAAGUGAUUUAUAUGUGAUUGUUGUACCAGACCAUUUGUUCAUAUGUCUUUUUGGUUAUUGAAGUGUGUUAUAGUGAUUGUUGUCCAGUUUUAUAGUCUUUUCUGUUAUUGAAGGAUUAUAGAUUUGUUGUACCCAUUUGUGCAUAGUCUUUCUUGAUUUUUGAAGUGAUGUUAUAUGGUGAUGUUGUACCUAGACCAUUUUGUGCAUAUGUCGAUUUUGGUUUAAUUGAUUGAUUUAUAUGGUGGUUGUUGUACCAGACCAUUUGUUCAUUUGUCUUUUAUAGUAUUGAAGAGAUGUUAUAUGGUGAUUGUUGUACCAGACCAUUUGUUCAUAUGUCUUGCUUGUUUAUUGAAGUGGAUGUUAUAUGGUGAUUGUUGUUCUAGACCAUUGUUCAUAAUGUCUUUUCUGGUUUAUUGAAGUGAUGUUAUAUGGUGAUUGUGUACCAUAUGUCUUCUAGUUUAUUGAAAUGAUUUAUAUGUGAUUGUUGUACCAGACCAUUUUUCAUAUGUCUUUUCUGGUUUUAUUGAAGUGAUGUUAUAUGGUGAUUUUAUGUUCUAGACCAUUUGUUUUCAUAUUCUUUUUCUGGUAUUGAAGUGAUUGUUAUAUGGUGAUUGUUGUACCAGGCCAUUUGUUCAUAUGUCUUUUCUGUUUAUUGAAGUGAUGUUAUAUGGGUGAUUGUCGUACAGACACAUUUGUUAUAUGUCUUUUCUGGUUAUGGAAGUGAUGUUAUAUUGGUAUUGUUGUACCAGACCAUUUGUUCAUAUGUCUUUUCUUGUUUAUUGAAGUGAUGUUUAUAUAGUGAUUGUUGUACCAGACCAUUUGUGCAUAUGUCGAUUUGUUUAUUGAAUGAUGUUAAUAGAUGGUUGUUGUACCAGACCAUUUGUUCAUUUGUCUUUUUAUAGUUUAUUGAGAGAUGUCAUAUUGUGAUUGUAUUAAGGACCAUUGUUUCAUAUGUCUUUUCUGGUUUAUUGAAGUGAUGUUAUAUGGUGAUUGUUGUACCAGACAAUUUGUUUUAUGUCUUUCUGGUUGAUUGAAGUGAUGUUAUAUGGUGAUUGUUGUACCAGACCUUUGUUUCAUAUGUCUUUUCUGUUUAUUGAAGUGAUGUUAUAUGGUGAUUGUUGUACCAGACCAUUUGUGCAUAUGUUCGAUUUUGGUUUAUUGAAUGAUGUAUAGGAUGUUUUGUACCAGACCAUUUGCUUAUGUGUCUUUUCUGGUUUAUUGAAGUGUGUCAUAUGUGAUUGUUUUCCAGACAUUUUUGUAUAGUCGAUUUUGGUAUUGAAGUGACGUUCUAUGUGAUUUGUACCAGACCAUUUUUCAUACAUUUUUUCUGGUUAAUGAAGUGAUUUUAAUAUAGUAAUUGUUGUACACUGAAACAUAUGGCGAUAUGUUUUAUAGAUUUGUGAAGUGAUGUUAUAUGGUGAUUAUAUCGUCAUGAAUAGUACAUAUACAAAUCUGAUAUUUUGUCAUUUGAACACAUGACAAUUUAUCAUGAAACACAUAUGUAUUAUGUAUACAAUAAAUGGACUUGAAUAAAUGAUCAAAAAUAUAUCCAAAGUUUAUCCUUUAAACUUAACUACAUAUAUAUGGACUCGAAUCGUACAAGUCCAAUAUAUGUAAUCAGAGCACUCAAACCACCGAAUAAAGUAAUCAUUGUAAGGGUUCCAGCGAUGCAAGCACUUCGAUGAGCACGUUUCAAACUUCCUCUGUCCGCCGCUGAAUUUGCCUGAAAUGAAAUAUUUAACAUAAAAUCCACAAAUAAUGCUACAAUGUUACUUCAUAUCAAUCUGUUUACAAACAUAGUUUACUUUGAAGGGAUAAAACAAAUGGCUGUGAAUAUUCUGUACUGUCUAGUACUCGACCAAAACAUUUUGCAACUCCAUCCUGUUCUGGUUCCACGAACCAAAACAGUAUCUUCAUCCAUAUUCUAUGUGUACAGGACGGGAAUAGAAAUAGUAUUGACUGUGCAUAAUUUUAACUAGUCCCAGUACAAAAAAUACGCAAUGGACUCCAUGUUGACAUAAAUCAUAUCUUUGGGACUUUCUGAUACACAACCAUCAAGAUGCCAAAUAGUGCAUAGUUUAUAAAAGAGAUCUUAAAACGCAGGAAGACUUUCUCCCAUAGAUGGGGAAUUUCUAGCAUGACAACAAAAGGUUGUAUACCGUAAAGUUGAAAAUGGAAAUGGGGAAUGUGUCAAAGAGAUAACAAACCAACCAUAGAACAGGCAACAGCAGAAGGUCAUCAAUAGGUCUUCAAUCCAGCGAGAAAAUCACGCACCCGGAGACGUCCUUCAGCUGGCCCCUAAACAAAUAUAUAUACUAGUUCAGUGAUAAUGGACGUCAUACUAAACUCCAAAUUAUACACAAGAAACUUAAAUGUAAAAAUCAUACAAGACUAACACAGGCCAGAGGCUCCUGACUGGGGACAGCCGCAAAAAUGCAGCGGAGUUAAACAUAUGUCUUUUAUAGAUUUGUGAAGUGAUGUUAUAUGGUGAUUAUAUCGUCAUGAAUAGUACAUAUACAAAUCUGAUAUUUUGUCAUUUGAACACAUGACAAUUUAUCAUGAAACACAUAUGUAUUAUGUAUACAAUAAAUGGACUUGAAUAAAUGAUCAAAAAUAUAUCCAAAGUUUAUCCUUUAAACUUAACUACAUAUAUAUGGACUCGAAUCGUACAAGUCCAAUAUAUGUAAUCAGAGCACUCAAACCACCGAAUAAAGUAAUCAUUGUAAGGGUUCCAGCGAUGCAAGCACUUCGAUGAGCACGUUUCAAACUUCCUCUGUCCGCCGCUGAAUUUGCCUGAAAUGAAAUAUUUAACAUAAAAUCCACAAAUAAUGCUACAAUGUUACUUCAUAUCAAUCUGUUUACAAACAUAGUUUACUUUGAAGGGAUAAAACAAAUGGCUGUGAAUAUUCUGUACUGUCUAGUACUCGACCAAAACAUUUUGCAACUCCAUCCUGUUCUGGUUCCACGAACCAAAACAGUAUCUUCAUCCAUAUUCUAUGUGUACAGGACGGGAAUAGAAAUAGUAUUGACUGUGCAUAAUUUUAACUAGUCCCAGUACAAAAAAUACGCAAUGGACUCCAUGUUGACAUAAAUCAUAUCUUUGGGACUUUCUGAUACACAACCAUCAAGAUGCCAAAUAGUGCAUAGUUUAUAAAAGAGAUCUUAAAACGCAGGAAGACUUUCUCCCAUAGAUGGGGAAUUUCUAGCAUGACAACAAAAGGUUGUAUACCGUAAAGUUGAAAAUGGAAAUGGGGAAUGUGUCAAAGAGAUAACAAACCAACCAUAGAAAAAAAAAAAAAACAAAAAAAAAAAAAAAAAAAAAAAAAAAAAAAAAAAAAAAAAAAAAAAAAAAAAAAAAAAAAAAAAGAAAAAAAAAAAAAAAAAAAAAAAAAAAAAAAAAAAAAAAAAAAAAAAAAAAAAAAAAAAAAAAAAAAAAAAAAAAAAAAAAAAGAAAAAAAAAAAAAAAAAAAAAAAAAAAAAAAAAAAAAAAAAAUCAGCAAGAGAG